RNAcentral lists this ribosomal RNA (1248 nucleotides) under metagenome. Its description in RNAcentral is "SSU rRNA". It matches the Rfam family "Eukaryotic small subunit ribosomal RNA", at positions 633 to 1823 of the family's 1831-position model. The record is from RNAcentral.
AUUUUUCUUAAUUGAAUAAUAUUAUUACUUUCGGGUAGUUGAUUGGUAGUUAAAAUUCCAUAUAAUAGUAUGAAGAAUUAAACCUCUAAAUAUUAUUAUUUUGGGUCAAAAUUUUAAUUAUUAAUUAGAAUUUUAGUUCAUUUACUUUGAGAAAAUUAGAGUGUUUAAAUCAGUCUCUUUGGACUUUAAAUAUAAUUAGCAUGGGAUAAUAAAAUAAGAUUUAGUAUUAUUUUGUUGGUUUUUAUAAUAUUAAAUAAUGAUUAAUAGGGAUAGUUGGGGGUAUUUAUAUUAGACGGUUAGCGGUGAAAUGCUCAGAUCCGUUUAAGAUAAACUAAAGCGAAAGCAUUUACCAAGGAUGUUUUCAUUAAUCAAGAACGAAAGUUAAGGGAUCGAAGACGAUCAGAUACCGUCGUAGUCUUAACUAUAAACUAUGCCGACUAGGGAUGUGAGAAGUUAAUUUAAAUCUAGUAUUUAUUAUAUUAGAUUAUAUCCUCUUAUGCACCUUGUGAGAAAUCAUAAGUUAUUAGGUUCUGGGGGAAGUAUGGUCGCAAGUCUGAAACUUAUAGGAAUUGACGGAGGGGCACCACCAGGAGUGGAGCGUGCGGCUUAAUUUGACCCAACACGGGAAAACUUACCAGGUCCAGACAUUAUUAGGAUUGACAGAUUGAGAGCUCUUUCAUGAUUUAAUGGGUGGUGGUGCAUGGCCGUUCUUAGUUGGUGGAGUGAUUUGUCUGGCUAAUUCCGAUAACGAACGAGACCUUUACCAGUUAAAUAGUAAUAUUUAUGUAGUAAUACAUAGAUAGAAUAACUUCUUAGAGGGACUAUUGAUCAAAAAAUCAAAGGAAGUAAAGGCGAUAACAGGUCUGUGAUGCCCUUAGAUGUUCUGGGCUGCACGCGCGCUACAAUGAUAUAUUCAAAAAGUUUUCUAUGUUUUUUAAACUUAGUAUUACUUAAUCGGAAGGUUUGGUUAAUCUUUUAAACGUAUAUCGUGCUUGGGAUAGAUAAUUGUAAUUAUUUAUCUUGAACCAGGAAUUCCUAGUAAUCACAACUCAUCAGGUUGUGAUGAUUACGUCCCUGCCCCUUGUACACACCGCCCGUCGCUGCUACCGAUUGGAUGAUCCGGUGAAAUCUACAGAUUAUAUUAAUUAUUUAACGCAAGUUAAACUUUAAUUAGAGAAGUUGAUUAAACCUUAUUAUCUAGAGGAAGCAAAAGUCGUAACAAGGUUUCCGUAGGUGAACCUGCGGAAG